This 206-nucleotide long non-coding RNA is filed under the name Ricinus communis (castor bean). Its description in RNAcentral is "long non-coding RNA (RCOM_LNC000016)". The record is from RNAcentral. Lineage: Eukaryota; Viridiplantae; Streptophyta; Magnoliopsida; Malpighiales; Euphorbiaceae.
AUCUCAUCUUCUCCCUAAAAUAUGGCGAUCAGCCGCAUAGAGAGAAGCCAUAGCCGAAUCAAAUGAGCUAAUAAUAGCCAACCCAGAGGAUAGAAACAGUCAAAAAUGUCAAUUUACCUGUAAAGAGAAACCUAAACUGGAUCAUCUUCUGCCUGUUUUAGAUAAAACAGACACUCGCUAUUUAUAUUUUUACAGCAUAAUGCAAC